This is a long non-coding RNA of Sarcophilus harrisii (Tasmanian devil), 355 nucleotides long. RefSeq lists it as uncharacterized. The transcript has 3 exons. The record is from RefSeq and is a predicted model, not a curated record. NCBI's taxonomy places the organism in Eukaryota, Metazoa, Chordata, Mammalia, Dasyuromorphia, Dasyuridae.
AAGCUGUCUCCAUUGUUGAUUAUCCAUCUCUGUGAUCAGAAGCAAGUGCUCCAUGCUUGGAAUGUAAUAUUCCCUGAACUGCAGCAAACUAGAGAUCUCCAUGAAACCUUCUACGUGUCCUCCAUGGGUCUAUCUGAAAUUAUGAUGUAGGACCUGAAUUACAGCAUCAAAUAAUCAGAUUCACCAGGAUGCACUUGGUUGGACUGAAUGUACUAUACUCCAGAGGACAUGGUGGGGUCUUGGUGAGUCAUAGAGAAAAAAACAGAACCAGAAUUCUUGAAAUAAAUAUAGAACAAUGCCCAGAGAAUACUUAAGCUGUGCAUACUCUUUGACCCAGAUAUACUCCAAGAAAUCA